RNAcentral lists this ribosomal RNA (253 nucleotides) under uncultured bacterium. RNAcentral describes it as "partial 16S ribosomal RNA". It matches the Rfam family "Bacterial small subunit ribosomal RNA", at positions 524 to 776 of the family's 1533-position model. The record is from RNAcentral.
UACGGAGGGUGCGAGCGUUGUCCGGAAUUACUGGGCGUAAAGGGCGCGUAGGCGGCCUUCUAAGUCGAACGUGAAAUCCCCGGGCUCAACCCGGGAACUGCGUCCGAUACUGGAAGGCCUGAAUCCGGGAGAGGGAUGCGGAAUUCCAGGUGUAGCGGUGAAAUGCGUAGAUAUCUGGAGGAACACCGGUGGCGAAGGCGGCAUCCUGGACCGGCAUUGACGCUGAGGCGCGAAAGCCAGGGGAGCAAACGGG